UGGGAAAAUUAUUUCGAGCGUCUUACCAGAACGGGUUCGACGGUGAGGGACGAAAGCUGGGGGCACGAACCGGAUUAGAUACCCGGGUAGUCCCAGCCGUAAACGAUGCUCGCUAGGUGUCAGGCAUGGCGCGACCGUGUCUGGUGCCGCAGGGAAGCCGUGAAGCGAGCCACCUGGGAAGUACGGCCGCAAGGCUGAAACUUAAAGGAAUUGGCGGGGGAGCACAACAACGGGUGGAGCCUGCGGUUUAAUUGGACUCAACGCCGGACAACUCACCGGGGACGACAGCAAAAUGUAGGCCAGGCUGAAGACCUUGCCUGAAUCGCUGAGAGGAGGUGCAUGGCCGUCGCCAGUUCGUACUGUGAAGCAUCCUGUUAAGUCAGGCAACGAGCGAGACCCAA
RNAcentral lists this ribosomal RNA (401 nucleotides) under Methanosarcina sp. enrichment culture DGGE gel band Met1. RNAcentral describes it as "bacterial SSU rRNA". It matches the Rfam family "Archaeal small subunit ribosomal RNA", at positions 649 to 1055 of the family's 1478-position model. Lineage: Archaea; Methanobacteriati; Methanobacteriota; Methanomicrobia; Methanosarcinales; Methanosarcinaceae. The record is from RNAcentral.